UACGGGGGGGGCAAGCGUUGUUCGGAAUUACUGGGCGUAAAGGGUCUGUAGGUGGCUUGCUAAGUCAGACGUGAAAUCCCUCAGCUUAACUGGGGAACUGCGUCUGAGACUGGCGAGCUUGAGUGCAGGAGAGGAACGCGGAAUUCCAGGUGUAGCGGUGAAAUGCGUAGAUAUCUGGAGGAACACCGGUGGCGAAGGCGGCAUCCUGGACCGGCAUUGACGCUGAGGCGCGAAAGCCAGGGGAGCAAACGGG
RNAcentral lists this ribosomal RNA (253 nucleotides) under uncultured bacterium. Its description in RNAcentral is "partial 16S ribosomal RNA". It matches the Rfam family "Bacterial small subunit ribosomal RNA", at positions 524 to 776 of the family's 1533-position model. The record is from RNAcentral.